AGGGCGCAAGGUGGAUGCCUUGGCUCACGGAGGCGAUGAAGGACGUGAUAAGCUGCGAUAAGCCUCGGGUAGGUGCAAAUAACCAUUGAUCCGAGGAUUUCCGAAUGGGACAACCCAAUAUCUUGAAGAGGUAUUAUCUUACUAUGUAAGAGGCUAACGCAGGGAACUGAAACAUCUUAGUACCUGCAGGAAGAGAAAAUAAGUUAAUGAUUCCCCUAGUAGUGGCGAGCGAACGGGGAAUAGCCCAAACCAUGAUUGUAGCAAUGCAACCAUGGGGUUGUAGGACCACGCUGUAGCACGAUACUUGUGAGAAGAACGUUCUGGAAAGAACGGCCAUAGACGGUGAUAGCCCGGUAAUCGAAGCAAGUUGAAGCUUAGUGGUAUCCUGAGUAACGCGGAACACGAGAAAUUCUGCGCGAAUCUGCCGGGACCAUCCGGUAAGGCUAAAUACUCCCGAGAGACCGAUAGCGAACCAGUACCGUGAGGGAAAGGUGAAAAGCACUUCGAACAGAAGAGUGAAAUAGUUCCUGAAACCGUGCGCCUACAAGCGGUCGGAGCUCGUUAAUGAGUGACGGCGUGCCUUUUGCAUAAUGAACCUACGAGUUACCAUCACAGGCAAGGUUAAGUCUCAUGAGGGACGCAACCGCAGUGAAAGCGAGGCUGAAUAGGCCGUCGAGUCUGUGGGGGUAGACGCGAAACCAAGUGAUCUACACUUGUCCAGGUUGAAGUCCCGGUAACACGGGAUGGAGGACCGAACCAAUAAGCGUUGAAAAGCUUCUGGAUGAGGUGAGGGUAGGAGUGAAAGGCCAAUCAAACUUGGAGAUAGCUCGUACUCCCCGAAAUGCAUUUAGGUGCAGCCUUUAUUUAGUAUAGCAUGAGGUAGAGCGACUGAUCGGAUGCGAGGGCUUCACCGCCUAUCAAGUCCGGACAAACUCCGAAUGCGUGCAGGUUAGAGACGGGGAGUGAGGGCAUGGGUGCUAAGGUCCGUGCCCGAGAGGAGAAGAAUCCAGACCACCGGCUAAGGCCCCCAAAUGAUCGUUAAGUUGAACUAACGAGGUCGGAUCGCAGAGACAGCUAGGAUGUUGGCUUGGAAGCAGCCAUUCAUUCAAAGAGUGCGUAACAGCUCACUGGUCGAGAGUCCCUGCAUGGAUAAUAAUCGGGUAUAAGACAGAUACCGAAGGCGCGGGAUAGCAAUAAUAAAAGUAUCGGUAGGGGAGCAUUCCAUAUCCGUCGAAUGGUGCGGGUAACUGAUCCUGGAGGAUAUGGAAAAGCAAAUGUAGGUAUAAGUAACGAUAAGGAGGGUAAGAUUCCCUCCCGCCGCAAGACUAAGGUUUCCCGGGCAAUGUCAAUCAUCCCGGGGUCAGUCGGGUCCUAAGUCUCAGCCGAACGGCGAGGGCGAUGGCAGACACGGUCAACAUUCCGUGACUACCUUUAGGAGCGAUGCGGAGACGGAGCAGUGACACUUCCGCGAACCGACGGAAUGGUUCGUUGAAGAGUGUAGACGUUGAUCAGGGUAGGCAAAUCCGCCUUGAGAGUCGAACUUGAAAGUACAGGGUCCUCUUCGGAGGAACUUGAUAGCGAAGGUAAACAUACUCCCGAGAAAAUCCGCUAAGCAAUCUUAAAGGUACCCGUACCGCAAACGGACACACGUAGUCGGGUUGAAUAUACUAAGGCGCUUGAGUGAUUCACGGUUAAGGAACUAGGCAAAUUGACCCUGUAACUUCGGGAUAAAGGGUCCUCGUCGUAAGGCGAGGCGCAGAGAAUAGGUCCAGGCAACUGUUUAACAAAAACACAGGGCUGUGCGAACUCGAAAGAUGAAGUAUACAGCCUGACACCUGCCCGGUGCUGGAAGGUUAAGAGGAGAUGUCAUCGCAAGAGAAGCAUUGAAUUGAAGCCCCAGUAAACGGCGGCCGUAACUAUAACGGUCCUAAGGUAGCGAAAUUCCUUGUCGGGUAAGUUCCGACCCGCACGAAAGGCGUAAUGAUUUGGGCACUGUCUCAACAACACACCCGGUGAAAUUGAAAUACCAGUGAAGAUGCUGGUUACCUGCGCCAGGACGGAAAGACCCCAUGGAGCUUUACUCCAGUUUGAUACUGGGAUUCGGUACUGCAUGUACAGGAUAGGUGGGAGACGAAGAAGGAUGGACGCCAGUCUGUCCGGAGUCGCUGUUGGGAUACCACCCCUGUAGUACUGGGUUUCUAACCAGUUGCCAUGAACUGGCAAUGGGACAAUGUCAGGCGGGGAGUUUGACUGGGGCGGUCGCCUCCGAAAGGGUAUCGGAGGCGCUCAAAGGUUCCCUCAGAAUGGUUGGAAACCAUUCGAAGAGUGCAAAGGCAGAAGGGAGCUUGACUGCGACACCGACGGGUGGAGCAGGUACGAAAGUAGGACUUAGUGAUCCGGUGGUAUUAAAGUGGGAUUGCCAUCGCUCAACGGAUAAAAGCUACCCUGGGGAUAACAGGCUUAUCACUCCCAAGAGUUCACAUCGACGGAGUGGUUUGGCACCUCGAUGUCGGCUCAUCGCAUCCUGGGGCUGUAGCAGGUCCCAAGGGUUGGGCUGUUCGCCCAUUAAAGCGGUACGCGAGCUGGGUUCAGAACGUCGUGAGACAGUUCGGUCCCUAUCUGUCGUGGGCGCAGGAUAUUUGAUGGGAGCUGUUCCUAGUACGAGAGGACCGGGACGGACGUACCUCUGGCGCACCAGUUGUUCCGCCAGGAGCAUAGCUGGGCAACUACGUACGGAUCGGAUAAACGCUGAAAGCAUCUAAGCGUGAAGCCGUCCUUAAGAUAAGAUAUCCCACUUUUAAGUUAAGACCCCUUGU
RNAcentral lists this ribosomal RNA (2816 nucleotides) under human gut metagenome. RNAcentral describes it as "bacterial LSU rRNA". It matches the Rfam family "Bacterial large subunit ribosomal RNA". The record is from RNAcentral.